This 253-nucleotide ribosomal RNA is filed under the name uncultured bacterium. RNAcentral's name for it is "partial 16S ribosomal RNA". It matches the Rfam family "Bacterial small subunit ribosomal RNA", at positions 524 to 776 of the family's 1533-position model. The record is from RNAcentral.
UACGUAGGGUGCAAGCGUUGUCCGGAAUUAUUGGGCGUAAAGAGCUCGUAGGCGGUUUGUCGCGUCUGCUGUGAAAAUCCAGGGCUUAACCCUGGACCUGCAGUGGGUACGGGCAGACUGGAGUGCGGUAGGGGAGAUCGGAAUUCCUGGUGUAGCGGUGAAAUGCGCAGAUAUCAGGAGGAACACCGGUGGCGAAGGCGGAUCUCUAGGCCGUAACUGACGCUGAGGAGCGAAAGCAUGGGGAGCGAACAGG